GCCCUUUAAACCCAAUGAUUCCGGAUAACGCUCGGACCCUCGGUAUUAUCGCGGCUGCUGGCACGGAGUUAGCCGGUCGUUAUUCUUACAGUACCGUCAAGCUGGUAUACAUACCAGUGUUUCUUCCUGUAUAAAAGUAGUUUACAACCCAUAGGGCAUUCUUCCUACACGCGGCAUGGUUGGAUCAGAGUCUCCUCCAUUGUCCAAUAUUCCUCACUGCUGCCUCCGGUAGGAGUGUGGUCCGUGUCUCAGUACCAGUGUGGGGGAUCUCCCUCUCAGGACCCCUACCUAUCGCUGUCUUGGUAAGCGGUUACCUUACCAAAUAACUAAUAGGACGCAUAGCCAUCUUUUACCGAUAAAUCUUUAAUUAUAAACUGAUGCCAGUGUACAAUGCCAUAAGGCAUUAAUCUUCAUUUCUAAAGACUAUUCCUCUGUAAAAGGUAUGGUUGUAUACGCGUUACGCACCCGUGCGCCGGUCGUCAUGUGUGCAAGCACAAGGUUACCCCUCGACUUCCAUGUAUUAAGCGGGCCGGGAGCGAUCAUCGGACCCAGGG
Molecule: ribosomal RNA, 554 nt
Filed under: uncultured bacterium
Lineage: Bacteria
Description: partial 16S ribosomal RNA
Source: RNAcentral